CAUCUCAGGAUGGGAUCUUAAACCCUCACGCUGCCUCUUGCACCUGUGCUGCCUGCUGCGACGACAUGACCUUAAGUGGCCCAGUCAGGCUUUUUGUGCCUUACAAAAGGCGCAAGAAGGAGAAUGAACUGCCCACAACUCCCGUGAAGAAGGACUCCCCCAAGAACAUCACAUUGCUUCCAGCCACCGCGGCUACCACCUUCACCGUGACCCCCUCAGGACAGAUCACGACCUCGGGGGCACUGACCUUUGACCGAGCGUCCACGGUAGAGGCCACUGCUGUCAUAUCAGAGAGUCCGGCCCAGGGCGACGUCUUCGCAGGGGCCACAGCAGUCCUGCGUUAACUGCGGCCGGGAGGCUAUGAGCGAGUGCACGGGCUGCCACAAGGUCAACUACUGCUCCACCUUCUGCCAGCGCAAG
RNAcentral lists this small RNA (420 nucleotides) under Pan troglodytes (chimpanzee). Its description in RNAcentral is "processed transcript". Lineage: Eukaryota; Metazoa; Chordata; Mammalia; Primates; Hominidae. The record is from RNAcentral.